CCUACGGGAGGCAGCAGUGGGGAAUUUUGGACAAUGGGCGCAAGCCUGAUCCAGCAAUGCCGCGUGAGUGAAGAAGGCCUUCGGGUUGUAAAGCUCUUUUGUCAGGGAAGAAACGGUCUACUCUAAUACAGUGGGCUAAUGACGGUACCUGAAGAAUAAGCACCGGCUAACUACGUGCCAGCAGCCGCGGUAAUACGUAGGGUGCAAGCGUUAAUCGGAAUUACUGGGCGUAAAGCGUGCGCAGGCGGUUAUAUAAGUCAGAUGUGAAAUCCCCGGGCUCAACCUGGGAACUGCAUUUGAGACUGUAUGGCUAGAGUGUGUCAGAGGGGGGUAGAAUUCCACGUGUAGCAGUGAAAUGCGUAGAUAUGUGGAGGAAUACCGAUGGCGAAGGCAGCCCCCUGGGGAUAACACUGACGCUCAUGCACGAAAGCGUGGGGAGCAAACAGGAUUAGAUACCCUGGUAGUCCACGCCCUAAACGAUGUCUACUAGUUGUCGGGACUUAAUUGUCUUGGUAACGCAGCUAACGCGUGAAGUAGACCGCCUGGGGAGUACGGUCGCAAGAUUAAAACGUCAAAGGAAUUGACGG
Molecule: ribosomal RNA, 587 nt
Filed under: uncultured bacterium
Lineage: Bacteria
Description: bacterial SSU rRNA
Rfam family: Bacterial small subunit ribosomal RNA
Source: RNAcentral